GACGAACGCUGGCGGCGCGCCUAACACAUGCAAGUCGAACGGAGCUGAGAGAAGCUUGCUUUUCUUAGCUUAGUGGCGAACGGGUGGGUAACGCGUGAGUAACCUGCCCUGGAGUGGGGGACAACAGUUGGAAACGACUGCUAAUACCGCAUAAGCCCACGAUCCGGCAUCGGAUUGAGGGAAAAGGAUUUAUUCGCUUCAGGAUGGACUCGCGUCCAAUUAGCUAGUUGGUGAGGUAACGGCCCACCAAGGCGACGAUUGGUAGCCGGACUGAGAGGUUGAACGGCCACAUUGGGACUGAGACACGGCCCAGACUCCUACGGGAGGCAGCAGUGGGGGAUAUUGCACAAUGGGGGAAACCCUGAUGCAGCGACGCCGCGUGGAGGAAGAAGGUUUUCGGAUUGUAAACUCCUGUCGUGAGGGACGAUAAUGACGGUACCUAACAAGAAAGCACCGGCUAACUACGUG
RNAcentral lists this ribosomal RNA (468 nucleotides) under uncultured bacterium. RNAcentral's name for it is "partial 16S ribosomal RNA". It matches the Rfam family "Bacterial small subunit ribosomal RNA", at positions 28 to 507 of the family's 1533-position model. The record is from RNAcentral.